Molecule: long non-coding RNA, 1319 nt
Filed under: Equus asinus (donkey)
Lineage: Eukaryota; Metazoa; Chordata; Mammalia; Perissodactyla; Equidae
Description: lncRNA (ENSEASG00005028119.1)
Source: RNAcentral
CCGUGAUGCAUCGCGCCCAGAGCGCCUACGCCCGCUCCCUCUUCGCCCUCCCUUUUCGGCUUCUGGCUCUUUCUCGGGGUAGGCCACAGGGCGGUGUUUAGCCGCGAGCUCCCAAGGAGACUACAAUUCCCAUAAUGCGUUGCGGCAUGGCCGUCUCAGCUUUUCCGGAAGGGUUCACGUUCACCUAACUUUAUUGACAAAGGCUGGUAGUCCCGAAGGCAUGCUUGUGCAUCUUUCUUUUCAGAGACAAACAGGGAACUUUUUAGCCAUUAUAUAAAAAACGUGUUCGUUAUAAACAUUUCAACCAAUAUGAAACAGGAUAAAAAGAAAGUGAACGUUACUGGGAAACUCUAGCAUCCAGAGAUCAUCACCAUCAACAUGUGUGACCUUCUUUUCCAAAGUGACGUCUCACAGCUGGGCCCACACACAUGCUUUUGCUUUACCUGCAAUUCAGAGUUAAAUAUAUUAUGUGCCAGAUCCUUUCAUACUCAGCUAAUUUAAUCUUUGCAACCACAAAGGAAGUGGGUAUCGUUACCACCCUUCCCAGCAUAAACGUGAGAAAAAUGAACCACGGUUCACACAACUACUGAGAUGUGGGCCCUCUUCUCACCCUCCUUCUCCUUCUCUGCCUACAAGGCCCUUAUCAAAUGCCGCCUCCUCCAGGAAGCUGUCCUACACCACUCCAGUCAGAACUUCUUCCGUGGCCCUCAGCCAGAUGCAAGCCCCCACAGGAGUUGGUCUGCGGCUCUGAGGGCUUUUUCACAGUCAGAGAUAACAGUAUUGUUAAUAAUAUUCUUGGCAGCUUCCUUCUCAGCCUGGGAGAGCCUCAGGCACAGGGACUGUAUCCAUCCUGGCAGCAUCCUCUCAGGACCUGGCCUGUCAUAGAUGAGGACACUGAUGCUGUGAAAUUGCCCAGGGUCAAACAGCCAGCAUACGGCAGAUCUGGGACUCUCUGGGCCUGUGGCUGCCUUUAACCCAUGAUCUUGGGUCUAUCCCAGGUGCCCCAGGGAUUGAUUUCCCACUAAAUAUCAGAGUCUCCAAGGGGUGUUUGUCAGAAAUGCUGAAUUAGGAUAUAGGGGCCGGGGGUUAGGAGUCUUCAUUUGAAACAAGCCCCGCUCUGCAGUGAGUCUGAGAGCCACUGGACUCUGCUUUUCAUUUCUGGACAUAAACGCCCAUCCUCAUCAUGCCAGAGGCUGUCUUUUCGUUUGUUAAUCUUCGAGUAACAAGGAGAGAUGGCACCCACAGAAGGAAGAGUUUGAAAACUUCUGAGGUGCAGGUGCAUUUUUUCUCCUUCCAAGGGUCUCUUAGGGCAGACAGUG